Lynx canadensis (Canada lynx) is the source of this 82-nucleotide long non-coding RNA. RefSeq lists it as uncharacterized. The record is from RefSeq and is a predicted model, not a curated record. NCBI's taxonomy places the organism in Eukaryota, Metazoa, Chordata, Mammalia, Carnivora, Felidae. The transcript is spliced from 4 exons.
UGGAAGCAGCUGGCUUCACAGCUCAGGUGAUUAUCCUGAACCUUCCAGGCCAAAUCAAAAGAGCGCCGUGUAGGGAAAGAGU